ACGCUCGACACCUACGGUAGGCAGCAGUGGGGAAUAUUGCACAAUGGGGGAAACCCUGAUGCAGCGACGCCGCGUGGAGGAAGAAGGUCUUCGGAUUGUAAACUCCUGUUGUUGGGGAAAAAGAGGAUGGUACCCAACAAGGAAGUGACGGCUAACUACGUGCCAAGAGCCGCCGGUAAUCUGAGCGGGCUGGCAAGGC
RNAcentral lists this ribosomal RNA (199 nucleotides) under uncultured bacterium. RNAcentral describes it as "partial 16S ribosomal RNA". It matches the Rfam family "Bacterial small subunit ribosomal RNA", at positions 326 to 539 of the family's 1533-position model. The record is from RNAcentral.